This is a long non-coding RNA of Hyalella azteca, 199 nucleotides long. RefSeq lists it as uncharacterized. The record is from RefSeq and is a predicted model, not a curated record. The transcript is spliced from 3 exons. NCBI's taxonomy places the organism in Eukaryota, Metazoa, Arthropoda, Malacostraca, Amphipoda, Hyalellidae.
UAACGCUAACACCGGAGCAUUUUGUUGAGAUCUAUUUUGUAAAGAUGUCGUCCAAUGACUUCUAUUUAAGAUAUUAUGUAGGGCACAAGGGAAAGUUUGGACAUGAGUUUCUCGAGUUUGAGUUUCGUCCUGAUGGCAAACUGCGUUAUGCAAACAACUCAAACUACAAGAAUGACGUCAUGAUCCGCAAAGAGGUAAC